RNAcentral lists this ribosomal RNA (913 nucleotides) under Penicillium kewense. RNAcentral's name for it is "LSU rRNA". It matches the Rfam family "Eukaryotic large subunit ribosomal RNA", at positions 38 to 964 of the family's 3401-position model. Lineage: Eukaryota; Fungi; Ascomycota; Eurotiomycetes; Eurotiales; Aspergillaceae. The record is from RNAcentral.
GCAUAUCAAUAAGCGGAGGAAAAGAAACCAACAGGGAUUGCCCCCAGUAACGGCGAGUGAAGCGGCAAGAGCUCAAAUUUGAAAGCUGGCUCCUUCGGGGUCCGCAUUGUAAUUUGCAGAGGAUGCUUCGGGAGCGGUCCCCAUCUAAGUGCCCUGGAACGGGACGUCAUAGAGGGUGAGAAUCCCGUAUGGGAUGGGGUGUCCGCGCCUAUGUGAAGCUCCUUCGACGAGUCGAGUUGUUUGGGAAUGCAGCUCUAAAUGGGUGGUAAAUUUCAUCUAAAGCUAAAUAUUGGCCGGAGACCGAUAGCGCACAAGUAGAGUGAUCGAAAGAUGAAAAGCACUUUGAAAAGAGAGUUAAAAAGCACGUGAAAUUGUUGAAAGGGAAGCGCUUGCGAUCAGACUCGCUCGCGGGGUUCAGCCGGCAUUCGUGCCGGUGUACUUCCCCGCGGGCGGGCCAGCGUCGGUUUGGGCGGUCGGUCAAAGGCCCUCGGAAGGUAACGCCCCCUCGGGGGCGUCUUAUAGCCGAGGGUGCAAUGCGACCUGCCUGGACCGAGGAACGCGCUUCGGCUCGGACGCUGGCAUAAUGGUCGUAAGCGACCCGUCUUGAAACACGGACCAAGGAGUCUAACAUCUACGCGAGUGUUCGGGUGUCAAACCCGUGCGCGCAGUGAAAGCGAACGGAGGUGGGAACCCUUUUGGGUGCACCAUCGACCGAUCCUGAUGUCUUCGGAUGGAUUUGAGUAAGAGCGUAGCUGUUGGGACCCGAAAGAUGGUGAACUAUGCCUGAAUAGGGCGAAGCCAGAGGAAACUCUGGUGGAGGCUCGUAGCGGUUCUGACGUGCAAAUCGAUCGUCGAAUUUGGGGUAUAGGGGGCGAAAGACUAAUCGAACCAUCUGGUAGCUGGUUCCUGCCGA